UACGUAGGGUGCGAGCGUUGUCCGGAAUUAUUUGGGCGUAAAGGGCUCGUAGGCGGUUUUGUCGCGUCGGGAGUGAAAACUCAGGGCUUAACCCUGAGCCUGCUUCCGAUACGGGCAGACUAGAGGUAUGCAGGGGAGAACGGAAUUCCUGGUGUAGCGGUGAAAUGCGCAGAUAUCAUUUGGAACGCCAAUGGUGAAGACAGCUCGCUGGGGGUGUACUGACACUGAGACACGAAAGCCAGGGGAGCAAACGGG
This 255-nucleotide ribosomal RNA is filed under the name uncultured bacterium. RNAcentral's name for it is "partial 16S ribosomal RNA". It matches the Rfam family "Bacterial small subunit ribosomal RNA", at positions 524 to 776 of the family's 1533-position model. The record is from RNAcentral.